Molecule: non-coding RNA, 622 nt
Organism: Macaca mulatta (Rhesus monkey)
Lineage: Eukaryota; Metazoa; Chordata; Mammalia; Primates; Cercopithecidae
Source: RefSeq, a predicted model, not a curated record
GAGCGAGUCGGUGAACCAGGCCUGGCUUGAGCCUGGCUCCCUGGGAUAUGCUGGCUGCCUCGGGCAGAGGCGGAAGAACAGGGAUUUGGAGGAAGAGGGAGAAACAGGUGACAUUAUCAUGCGCUCAUUCAAUAAAUGGACGCCUGCUGUGUGCCAGGCCCUGUACUAGUUGUACUAGUUGGGGCCAUGGCGGUGAAAAAGAAAACCUACAAAAUUUUGAGUGCCGCCCCCAUUUGGGCACAGCCCUGAAGGCCAGCCCUUUUGGAGGUGCUUCUCAUGCAAAAGGAAUCGUCCUGGAAAAAGUAGGAGUUGAAGCCAAACAGCCAAAUUCUGCCAUUAGGAAGUGUGUCAGGGUCCAGCUGAUCAAGAAUGGCAAGAAAAUCACAGCCUUUGUACCCAACGACGUUUGCUUGAACUUUAUUGAGGAAAACCAUGAAGUUCUGGUUGCUGGAUUUGGUCGCAAAGGUCAUGCUGUUGGUGAUAUUCCUGGAGUCCGCUUUAAGGUUGUCAAAGUAGCCAGUGUGUCUCUUCUGGCCCUAUACAAAGGCAAGAAGGAAAGACCAAGAUCAUAAAUUUUAAUAGUGAACACACUGUAGUAAUAAAUUUUCAUAUGCCAAAAAAA